GCCACAGUCUGAGUCCUAGCCAUGACCAAAGCUUUUAUUAAAGAGAAGGCCCUUUUCGCAAUUAUUUUUCUUUUCUUAGUAGUAGGAAAUUUGAUAUAAAAGUUUAUAUUUUGGUAGAGUUGUUUCGCCCAUUAGAUAUCACGCCAUUAUAAAAUAGCCAGAUGGAUCAAAAGCCACACUAAUGACAAAAUGUCCUGGAUGAUAAUAACUGUUAUCUGUGUAUUCAUAAUACUAAUACCAGACUUCUCUAUUAUUUAUUUUUAUUCCAAAGUCCAAACUACCCACAAGAUGCAAUGCAAAU
This 301-nucleotide unclassified non-coding RNA is filed under the name Hevea brasiliensis (rubber tree). The record is from RNAcentral. Lineage: Eukaryota; Viridiplantae; Streptophyta; Magnoliopsida; Malpighiales; Euphorbiaceae.